AUGACCGGGGCGAAGAGAAUCAAAGGGGCGAGCUUUGCGUUGGAUCUGGCAAUGGCAAUGAAGAGUACAGUUUGUGUAAUUAACAAUAUGAAGAUAAAGCAUCGGUGGCUCAAUAGUCUUCGUAGUCCAAUAAAUGCCCAACACAAAAGGGACGAAGCUGCAAGGAAGCAGGAGCAGAACAAUAGCCAGCUACAAAUGAUGGCAUUUAUGAAGAACACCACGGUGCUGUGUUGGAUAGCUAUUAUUCUCAUGUCCAUCAAUUCCUUGUCCUGCCAUGCUGCUGCGAGGAGCACACAUACAAUGGACUUUGGACCUAUUCUUGGGUGUGUAAAGACGGAAACAAAAUGUUCGGUUGUUGGGUGCACGAAGAUAUGUUCCGACCUUGGCUGGAAUACCCACAGAUGCUAUUGUGCCGAUGCUGGCAGUUGCUGCCACUAUGCGGAUGGAAAGCCAUUAAAUUGA
RNAcentral lists this ribosomal RNA (462 nucleotides) under Triticum aestivum (bread wheat). RNAcentral describes it as "partial small subunit ribosomal RNA". Lineage: Eukaryota; Viridiplantae; Streptophyta; Magnoliopsida; Poales; Poaceae. The record is from RNAcentral.